Long non-coding RNA from Chiroxiphia lanceolata (lance-tailed manakin), 387 nucleotides. RefSeq lists it as uncharacterized. Lineage: Eukaryota; Metazoa; Chordata; Aves; Passeriformes; Pipridae. The record is from RefSeq and is a predicted model, not a curated record. The transcript has 4 exons.
GCUGCACAGCCUGCAGAAGCCUUUGCUUGAAGCAUCUCAGAGCAGUCACCUGUCCCUGGUAGCAGGGAGAUUUCAGGAGGUGGGAUGAGCACUAAGUUGACUCCAGCACUCAGCUCUGCUGUUCCUUUUCUGACUGGCCUUGGCUUUAAAGGAAUUUGCUCUGGGGAAGGAGACAGCUGCUGCUCUGAUGAAGGAUUUUUCUGAGCAGGCCUCCCAAGCUAGAUAUGUCAGCGUGAGAUGCUGCCUACGAUUUUUUCAUUGUGACCAACAGGUUGUUAGACUGCAAUCAAAAGCAGUUGGUAGGAAUGGAGCUGUCCCUGUUGUGAGAUUUGAACUCCUGACAUCUUUAUCUACUGGAACUUGAGUGCCCAGGACGCACUAGAGAGG